GAGGUGAUCCUAUCUUCUGUCAACAUUUAUUCUGAUUCUUUGGUCACCCUGAAGUCUACAUCCUCCUCCAACCAGGCUUCAAGAUAAUUUGCCAUAUCAUAACAUAGUAUUCUGGAAAAAAAUAACCAUUUGGAUAUAGGGGCAUGAUGUGAGCUAUAAUAUCAAUUGUUUUCUUAGAGUUUAUCGUAUGGGCUCACCAUAUAUUUACAGUAGGCAUAGAUGUAGAUACACAAGCCUACUUCACCUCUGCUACGAUAAUUAUUGCUAUUCCCACUGGCGUCAAAGUUUUUAGCUGACUAGCUACACUUCAUGGCGGCAAUACUAAAUGAUCCCCUGCAAUGCUCUGAGCCUUGGGGUUUAUUUUCCUUUUUGCAGUAGGAGGCUUGACCGGCAUUGUACUAGCCAACUCAUCAUUGGAUAUUGUAAUUACAUGACACAUAUUAUGUUGUAGCCCAUUUACAUUACGUCUUAUCAAUAGGAGCCGUAUUUGCUAUUAUAGGGGGUUUUAUUCACUGAUUCUCUCUAUUUUCAGGCUAUAUACUCAAUCAAGCCUAGGCUAAAGCUCAUUUUGCUAUUAUGU
RNAcentral lists this long non-coding RNA (580 nucleotides) under Homo sapiens (human). RNAcentral's name for it is "non-protein coding lnc-MED10-21:1". Lineage: Eukaryota; Metazoa; Chordata; Mammalia; Primates; Hominidae. The record is from RNAcentral.